Molecule: ribosomal RNA, 576 nt
Filed under: uncultured eukaryote
Lineage: Eukaryota
Description: SSU rRNA
Rfam family: Eukaryotic small subunit ribosomal RNA
Source: RNAcentral
UAAAAACCCCGACUUCGGAAGGGGUGUAUUUAUUAGAUACAAAACCAAUGCCCUUCGGGGCUCUUUGGUGAUUCAUGAUAACUAUACGAAUCGCACGGCCUUGCGCCGGCGAUGGUUCAUUCAAAUUUCUUCCCUAUCAACUUUCGAUGUUUGGGUAUUGGCCAAACAUGGUUGCAACGGGUAACGGAGGGUUAGGGCUCGACCCCGGAGAAGGGGCCUGAGAAACGGCUACUACAUCCAAGGAAGGCAGCAGGCGCGCAAAUUACCCAAUCCCGACUCGGGGAGGUAGUGACAAUAAAUACUGAUACAGGGCCCUUUCGGGCCUUGUAAUUGGAAUGAGUACAAUUUAAAUCCCUUAACGAGGAACAAUUGGAGGGCAAGUCUGGUGCCAGCAGCCGCGGUAAUUCCAGCUCCAAUAGCGUAUAUUAAAGUUGUUGUGGUUAAAAAGCUCGUAGUUGAACCUUGGGCCUGGCUGGCCGGUCCGCCUCACCGCGUGCACUGGUCCGGCCGGGCCUUUCCCUCUGUGGAACCCCAUACCCUUCACUGGGCGUGGCGGGGAAACAGGACAUUUACUUU